Ctenocephalides felis (cat flea) is the source of this 340-nucleotide long non-coding RNA. RefSeq lists it as uncharacterized. The transcript has 3 exons. Lineage: Eukaryota; Metazoa; Arthropoda; Insecta; Siphonaptera; Pulicidae. The record is from RefSeq and is a predicted model, not a curated record.
GUAAUCUAUGUCGUGUGGUGAUUCACAUCGCAGAAUUUGCAACCAUGGGUUUUUGUAAUGUUAAUUUGAUUUUGUUUAAAUUGAGUGCUCUAGUGUACAAAUAUUUAUCUGAAUUGGCGAUAAAAUUAUUUGCAGGCUUUCGAUGUCAAUAAAGAAACAUGUAUAUGAUGAAAGGUUAUGGGAAUGCUUUGGCUGUAUGGCCGUACAAGGUGAUUUGGGUAACAGAUUCUUAACAUUGCUCCUCAAUAGUUGAGGAGGGAUGAUGGUAGUCAAGAGCAGUUGCGAUUUGAGGUUUUUCAUCUUUUUCAAUCAUUUGUGCAAUACUCUGCACAUCAUUGGG